This 22631-nucleotide long non-coding RNA is filed under the name Triticum aestivum (bread wheat). Lineage: Eukaryota; Viridiplantae; Streptophyta; Magnoliopsida; Poales; Poaceae. The record is from RNAcentral.
CAGCUUCCCUAAGAAAACAAAAAAAACAAAAAAUAAUUCCAGCUUCCAAGCAGGGUCAGCAGUCCAUAACUGCCGCAUGCGCCACAUGACAGAAACCAGUACAGGCCACCUCACCUCAAGCGACAUACACAAUCCCGCUCCUAUAAGACUAGAGUACAUGAUCUCGAAAAAAAAAAGAGUACAUGACUACAUGGAGGAGAGCCACACAUGCUGCCAGACAGAAAAACAUCGACCAGACCGGGCACAUCAAUGGACGCACCGGUGGCGUCUGAGCAGGUUCGAGAAAUCCAGCCGCUGCACACAAGGACCAUCUCCUCAUCAGCUCCACGCUGCCAAACUCCUGCCUGCCAGCAGUAAUCAGCUUGAAGGAACGGAUGGGGGACGCAUCACCAGCUCAUGGAUACUCCUCCAUCUCUGCAAUUCAACCCAGUGCCAGCACCAGUACCCCCUGGUGAAAACAAAAAAAGGCUCUGCGCACCUGAAAUGCUGCACAACAUGUUUAUUACCCGUUAUUUGUCUUCCGCCGUCAAGACUGGACUGGCGCGCCACCGAAGCCACUGACAGGCGCAAUCUCGUUAAGGUGGAGGAAUCGUCUCCCAGCAACUUUGCUCUCUUCCCUGCCAGGAGCGUGCAUCUUCACUAUGUGGAGCAGUCGCUGCUCUUGACUUUUUAUUGAGGUCUUUGCACUGUCUGGUGCAUCAGAGCUGGCAUCUGGAUCCAGUGCAUUCGGUUCGCCUGGCUUUCCCAAUUCGGUAUCUCUACCAGAGUGCCGCUGAUGGUUCAUAUGGGGCCGCGUGGAACGCUUAUUGCGCUUGAUGCCUGUUUGGAUCACAUCCAUAGAUUUCAGUUUGGCCCCUUGAGGACUGCGAGUUGGCAGUCUCUUGGACCGUUGAAUCCCCUCUUCAUCUUCACUGCUCAAAGAAUACUCCGCUUGGUCUUCCGAUCGAAACUCUCCAUCGUACUCUGAAGUACUUGCCUUGGGUUGUUUUCGACUUCUAAGAUACUCCUCGUCAUAGACAGCUUCGCCCAUGAUAUCGUCAUCACUGUCAAAGUUCGUGUCGAUGUCCGAGACAUUCUCAACAAAGUCCGUUGUGUAUCUUUGAGAUCUUUUUCUUUGACGAGACCUAUAAUUUGAACAAUGCAUGUGCGUGUUUAUAUGCUGAUAUAAGCUUUGGCAGAGGAUCAGCUCAACAUCAAGAGUUAAAGGAGUUACCUACGAUCAAGGGUCUCAGCCUUUUCCUCACCACCACUCCCUUGGUAGCUAUAUGACUUCAGUGGAGAUUCUUCACGCCGUCCAUUACAUACAGGUGAGGGUCCAGCUAACGUACCAUUACUUGAUGCCUCUCGUGUUGGGACAAGUACUCCUCUGUUGGUAGUGGCAACGACCUGAACCGGGUUCUCACUUUUCCUGUCAAUAUAAGAGUACAGAAACUUGUGUCAUGAGUUUCGUUGUUUAUAAAAAAUCCUUUAAUGGAACUAUGGAGCGUAGAUGAUUCACCUACUUUAUUGCUUUUAGGGCCUCAUUUAUUGAACGGUCAUAAUCAUCUGCAUGGUAAGGAAAGAGUUUCUCGUUAGGAGAACAGUAAAUCUGUAUAUACCUUUGAUCUUGUUCCAAUGGGAACUAUGAAUACCCAAUGCAAAAAAUGGCAUGGAAAUUUUAUUUAGUCAAAAAGAUUUUUAUGUACAAUUGCAGUGGUAUCAUAACUUCAGUAGAGGGGUUUAUACAAGUUACUGGGAAUAGCUUGCUGACAUUUAUUAUUCAUCAAGUGCUGAGACAUUACAGAUACCUUUCUUAAAGCAUAUCAGUAAGAACAGCUAGUCAGCUACAGAAAGUGCAUCCCAACUUAACUAUUCUUCUGCGCAUAAUGAACUAGCGAGACAACAGAUUUACAACUAUGUAACUAAGCUUAGCAAGUUCAGACAUUAUUGACAUGACACUUAUGUGCACAGUAUUGCACAUAUGAAGGUGCGGAUGAAAGCCUUUAUAGAAGCUAGCCCUAAUUCAGGCCGCGCUCAACCAAAAUAAAGAUAAGAAUCCUAUUGCUAGGAAGUUGGCAAUUAGUUUCUGUUUGAUAGGCUACGAUUAGUUUAUGGUUGUUAAGGUACUCUACCCAUCCAAUGUACUGCCACAUGCCAUUUGAAGAUAGGCAAGAAUCAAUAAACAAAAGAAGGUCAUUCUCAUCCCUGAUCUCUUCUCUACCAAAGAAAGCUGUGCAGCCCUUCCAUCUUCUCGAUCAUUACGGUGAUGCUAAAGCAUGAAAUGCCAAUGAAACAUCUAAUGUGAAGGGUUGGCUAAAUGAACAAGAAACUAUAACAGCCGGUAAACACGUAAUGGAGGAAAUGCUACCAUAUUAGGACAACUAAUUAAUAGCAGUGUUAACUUUAGUCUUAAGCUUACCGAAAGUAUAGGUGACACGCUUUCUUUCACGAUGGGAGCGGCCAGAGGUGAAUCUAUCAAAGGUCAAGUAGCUAUUAAGGAGAAGGGCUUCUCUUUGUUGCUUUUUUAGCAGCUUCUCCUUCUUCUGCAAGAGGAUUUCUCACACGUUAAAUAGGCAGUUAUUCUACUCUAGGCAGAUAAUUUGAACUCCUUUAGAGGAGCAGUUGAAUACCUUGUGAGUCUUUUCCAUCUCUGGGAGAUAAUUGAGCUUCAACUUCUUUCCAAGUGAGACCUCUGUCCUGUUACUACUUGAAAAGAGUUUUUCCUACGUAUAAGAUUGACAGAAAAUAACUAAUAUCAGUGAACUUCCAUAGAAUUUUCGUAAGAGUAAGAGAUCUAACACUACUUCACAAAAUCUUUUAUGCCAUUUGAUGCCAAAAGUUCACAUUUUUAUUUGGGUAAGCUCUUCCGGUGCGUCUCUCACUAAAGUCAGUAACCUUUGAUGUACUUGGGGACCUUAGUUAUCUCUGCCCACAGCAUUAGAUGGUUGCAGAUGUCGGAAUAUUACAUAGGGCAUUGUAAGGUGGACACCUGACAGAGCACACUUUUGCACAUGCUCGUAUCCUCCCUCCCUCUCAGUUAUGUUGCACAACAUGCACCAACAAAUAGUUAAAUACUGGAGUACAUGUUAAUGUUAUCUAAAUUGGUUCUGGAAGGCCCUUGAUCCAUUCUGUCAUUAAUUUAAUCUUGUCGCGAACAUGUCACACAAGAAUCAAAACCAGCAAUAUCUAAGAAAAGCAAGCCCAAGUGUGAAUAGUUGCCACCAAGCUACUAAUGAUACACAAGCACAGAGAUUGACCAAUUAAUUGAUCCUGUUUCCAUGCAUGCUCAAUAUGCUUUUCAGAGAAAAUCAUGCCAGUACCAUGCAUCAGUAGCAACAGAAGAUGUCAAAUGAUGCUCACAGAAAGCGCAUUUGCCUUAUGGGUGCUACUGUGUGCGUGUAAGUGUGUCUGAUUCAACUCCAUUCAGAGGAACAAUUCCAGGACUCCAUUCAGUAACAGGGGACCUAAAAAACGCAUAUGAUUAACUCGAAAGUUUAAACUUACUGCUGCUGCUUCAAAUUCAACAAAGUUUGUCGCGACAGUCUCCCACUGAUAGGAUACAACUGGAACACCUAAGAACCCCUUUCGUUUAGAUUUUCUUGUUUGCUCCUUCACAUACUCCACUUGUCUAAUUUCACGAUAUAAUCGAUGCCCGAGAAUCGGAUCUUCAUCAUACCUAUAGUGCAUUAGUUGAUUAGAAUUGACCUUGGCCACAACAAGGUGCUUAAGAUUCAUUUCAGAAUUAAAAGUUGUCUUUUACCCACCAGUAUGAGAUUCCAUGGGAAUCUCCCCCAAUUCGUUCUUUGCAGAAAUCACGGAGCUGAUAACCCUUUUUUAGACAACUAUCUACGAAGAUCCGAACAUCCUCUUGCUGCAAAAUAACUGGAUCCUAUCAGUUAAUAUGUCAACAAUUAUUUAUCAAUCUUGAAGCACUCAUGACCAGAAAACUUAAGGAUGACAUUUGCAGCUAGUUGUAGACAUCUCUUAACAAUUACAAACAUGAAGAUAUUGGGAGCAUUUACAUGCUCACAGAGGUGUUGUACACACAUGGGAGAUACAACAAAACACUUCCUGGGCCUUGCUAGGAACCACAUAUUUCAUUCACACAGGAUUACAUAAAAAAUAUGUCAUUAAAUCCAUUACCACUCACAGUUUAACAUGUGGAGAUGAAAUAUGUCCAGAAAGAGAUGUUUAAAAUAGCAGGCAAUUGAUGCCACUGUUCUAAACAGCGGUUAGUGAACAUUCAGAGAAUCACUAAUCGCUUAUGCAGAUUAGCAGACUCGAUAUGCAAUUGAGUAAUGAAUACUAAUCACUGAUCAUAUGUUUAGAUAACUGUAAGUUGCAUGCCCAGACCUAUCACUAGGCUGCAAACAUAUGCAUUAUUAAAUUUGACUUUUGCAAGUACAUUAGGCAGCUUUUAAUAACAUAUACAAGCAUUCCUAGGUAACUUGACCACAGAUAUUACUGACUAUUUAGCAGGAGGCCAACUACAAGUAACCUUUCAUAGUUUAAAUGCAGACGAAGUACCAACAUUCGUAUGUUAACAUUAGCUGCUAGAUAAACAACCUAGAAUGUGGGUUUUGUUUCAUAUGAUAACAUAACACUGUGAGGUCACCACUAUCACUGCAAAUGUUCCACACGAAAAUUAGGGGCACACACCUCACAACGUAUGUCACAUAUUGCUUUCAGGAUCAUUAAUCGAGUCGCUGGCUCAAGUUCCUUGUACGUUUCAAUUUCCGCUCUGAGAAACGAAUAACAGUAAGCCAUCCAAUAUUCAAUUGUAGCAAGGGAUUCAGGUCAGGAAUUACUUGCUUAAAGAACUCACCCAUGUGAGGCAACGAUUGGUAGAUUGCCUUCUGCAACCUGAAGAUCAGACCUUUUAUUUAGCUCAUUAAGCAAACACAGUACUACCCCUAGUACAAAAUUAUUCUUGACAAUGAAAAAUCGCAUACCAGAUGCCACCAGUCCUUCAAUUUUCUACAUAACACUGUCACCCAUUUUCCGUCUGCCAUGGACAUUCGAGCUACAGGAGGAAUCGACUGCAAAAUGCAAAUAAGGAGCAUCAAGAAGCUAUGUAUAAUAUUUGACAAGCUUAUCAAUUAUCAUUUGAAUACUGGUUCUAAGUAAGAGAAUGUGUGAUGUUGUUGCAACAUUCCCAACAUCAUGCUCACCCUUAAUAGCGGCACAUGCAAGUAUUCCAACGUGCCAUUAGGCACUAGGAUGGCGUCCUCCAGCUCCUCCGCCGUGAACUCCACCGCGAUGUUCAGCAAUGGCCGGAACACCUGCAGCUCCGGAGCAGAGCAACCACGCCGAAGGUCAAACUCCAAAUGCUAAACCCUAAACCCUAGAGGAGAAGGCCUAGGCAGCGGAAUACGAUCGGGAGCGCUCACCUGGAGGAAGUUGAGGACGGAGGCGAGCUCCCACAUGCACCGCAGCCUCCACCGCGGCAGCUCGCCGGGGUCCGCGGGCUCCGCGACCAGCGGCGUCACCACGCGGCAUUGCGGCGCCUCCGGCUCCGCCUCCUCGCGCUCCUCCUCCGCGAUCUUCCUCGGGCGGCCCGGGCCCGGCCGCCGCGGCGGGGGCGCGGGCGGCGCGAGGGGGCGGCUGCACGCGCGCGGCGGGCGCGUCCUCCUCGCCGGCGGCGCCGCGGCCUCCGCCUCCGCGGGCGGGGGUUCGUGCGGGGGAUCCUGCUCCGGCGGCGAGGAGGCGGCCAUCUCCGGCGAGAUUUUCGCGGCGGAGCGUCGGAUCGGCGGCGAGGGGCAGGGUCGGGAGGGGAGGGGGCAGGGCCGGUCACGGGCUCACGGGGAAAAGGGGAGGAGUGAGGGGGCAGAAAGGGNNNNNNNNNNNNNNNNNNNNNNNNNNNNNNNNNNNNNNNNNNNNNNNNNNNNNNNNNNNNNNNNNNNNNNNNNNNNNNNNNNNNNNNNNNNNNNNNNNNNNNNNNNNNNNNNNNNNNNNNNNNNNNNNNNNNNNNNNNNNNNNNNNNNNNNNNNNNNNNNNNNNNNNNNNNNNNNNNNNNNNNNNNNNNNNNNNNNNNNNNNNNNNNNNNNNNNNNNNNNNNNNNNNNNNNNNNNNNNNNNNNNNNNNNNNNNNNNNNNNNNNNNNNNNNNNNNNNNNNNNNNNNNNNNNNNNNNNNNNNNNNNNNNNNNNNNNNNNNNNNNNNNNNNNNNCCGGACCGGGUCAUCAUGGCUCAAUCAUCACGCGGUGACAUAGAUAUGGUGAUCCCAUAAACCAAGUCUAGUGCUACUGCUGCUGCCCAGGGAACAAGCCACAAAUCUUCAAAACCUGGAAAGACAAAUGAACAUGUCAUUAAGUUUACGCUUUGAUUCGAAAAGCAGAGAAAAAAAGCCCAAAAUGAUAGUAAACUGUAAAUCCAAGCCGUGUUGGAGUCCGUCCAGCCGACCCAAAUGGACAAAAGGCAGGCAAGAUUCAUGUUCGAAUGAGUCGCCGCGUUGGAGUUGGUCGUAGGAACGAUUGUCAGCUAUAGAGAUCACUAAAAUACAUGAGGAACAGUCUUGAAUCUCUGUGGGAUGGGCGGCGGCGGUACCAGGCGCGUCGUGUCCUCCUUGGAGGCGCCGCCUGGGGAAGUUUGGUGCUUUGGUGUGUGCAGCAGUUGCAGGUGGCGUCUCUUAUGUGCAGGUUUCAGAUCCAGCGACAAGUAGCUUUGCGGUGGCAUUUAGCAAUGCCCUCGAGCCUUGGCGGAAGGGGAUUGGGUUCCCCUUCCCCUGUGACCGCAUCGCUGCAAGUGCCAAGGUUCCUCUUCAACUCGUUCGUCUGUACCUCGGUCCUAAUUUCGCCAUGUGGCUUGGCAGCUCCUUUCUUUCGACGACUCUCCCGGCGGCUUACCCUCUUUCAUCGACAUGUGCCUUGGCAGCUCCUUCCUUUCGGCGACUCUCCCGGUGGCUUACGCUCUCAGUGUAUGCAGUGUAGCUUGUUGUGUGUGUGUGUGUGUGUCGGCAAACAAGCAAACAAGCACACACGAGAAUAUUCACCCCACGCUAUUGCUCCCCGGCAACGGCGCCAGAAAAAGGUCUUGAUAACCCAAAAGUAUAAGGAAUCGUUUGUAGCCUUCUUGGAUAAAUAAGAGUGUCGAACCCAACGAGGAGCUAAAGGCAGACAAAUAUUCCCUCAAGUUCUAUCGACCACCGAUACAACUCUACGUACACUUGACGUUUGCUUUACCUAAAACAAGUAUGAAACUAUUUUGCAAGAAUAAAACUAUGAGUACUUUGCGAGAAUAAAAUUACGAAUAAAUUGCAAGGUAAUAAAAGUGGAUAGCUUUUGUCAACAAGAAAGUCAUUUGUCCUAGGCAAUCGAUAACAAGUACCGGUAAUCAUUCUUGCAAUUUUAUAUGAGGAAGAGGCAUGAGCUAACAUACUUUCUCUACUUGGAUCAUAUGCACUUAUGAUUGGACCCCUAGCAAGCAUCCGCAACUACUAAAGAUCAUUAAGGUCACGAAACCCAACCAUAGCAUUAAGUAUCAAGUCCUCUUUACUCCCAUACGCCAUAACCCACUUAUCUGCGUUUAGGCUGCUGUCACCCCCGCAACACCGACAAUAAGCAAACCAUGAACAUAUUGCAACACCCUACAGCGAGGACCCCUCACUUUUGCGCGAGAACGGAGGGCACCGUAGGACAGCAUCAUAAAUAAAAUAUACAAUCAUACCAACCAAGAUCACGAUUAACCCACAGAACAAAACGGAUCUACUCAAACAUCAUAAGAUAACCAUAGAUCAUUGCGAAAUAAUAUAUGGAGUUGAGCACCAUGUUUAAAUAGAGAUUACAGCAGGGGGAAGGGGUGUUACACCGCUGCAUAGAGGGUGAGAAAGUUGGUGUUGACGGAUGUAGAUUGCCGUCACGAUCCUAGCCCCGGCGGCACUCCGGCGCCACCGGGAGAGGGGGGGAGAGAGCCCCCCUCCUUCUUCUUCUUCCUUGGCCUCCCCCUAGAUGGGAGGAGAGUUCCCCCUCUGGUCCAUGGUCUCCAUGGUGGCGGAGGGGCAGGAGCCCCUCCGAGAUUGGAUCUCCCUCUCUGUUCCCCUCUGUUUUGCGUUCUCAGAUCUGGUCGAAAACCGUUUCUUAUAUUCCGGGAGAUCCGUAACUCCGACUGCGCUGAGAUUUUAAGACGAUUUUUUCCAGAUAUAAGCUUCCUUGCACCCGAAGUAGAGCGCCAACCGACGUACGAGGUGAGCACAACCCACCACCGCGAGCCAGGCUUCUCUGGCGCGCCGUGGUGUCUUCUGGGCUGUGUGGGCCUCCGUUUGCGGUGAUUCCAACUCCAAAAAUCACAUAUAUUCCAAAAUAAUUCUCCAUAAAAUUUUAUUGCAUUUGGACUUCGUUUGAUAUGGAUUUUCCGCGAUACAAAAAACAUGCAAAAAACAGAAAUUUGCACUGGGCACUGGAUCAACAGGUUAGUCCAAAUAAAUCGUAUAAAAUGUUGCCAAAAGUAUGUAAAAGUUGUAUAAUAUUGGCAUGAAACAAUCAAAAAUUAUAGAUACGACGGAGACGUAUCAUGCUGGCUACAGUUUUUAGUUGGGUCAUCAUCAUUAUGCAUAAAACUGGUUCCUUUGUUUCGUCCUGAAUAAUAAGACAUCAUUGAUCGCACCAGCAUUUUGUUUCCUCUGAGCUUAGAAGCUGCACAGAAAGCUGAAGCAGCUCAGAAGCAUAAGAUUUUUCAUCGAGGACUACACAUGUGUCAUGUGUGAUCAGCAAGUUUUGGAGACACGAGAUCACUUGGUCCUUCAUCGUCCCUUCGCCAAACUAUGUUGGCAAUACAUCUGCCCCAGUUGGUGUCCCCUUCGCCAAACUAUGUUGGCAAUGCAUCUGCCCCAGUUGGUGUCCCCUUCUCCAAACUAUGUUGGCAAUACAUCUACCCUAGUUGGUGUCCCCUGUCUGCAGGUAUUCAAGAUCAGCUCAGUCAGUUAGUUCGCCUGCUCAAUCUUCCAUUUGCAAUGGAUGUCAUCAUACUGAUUGCUUGGGCCAUUUGGAACACGAGGAAUGCAUAUGUUUCCAGAAGGGGGUUAUCCCCAGUCUCUUUGCCUGCAGACGUAGGUUCAGGGAGGAGCUUCAGUGGUUACUUCUAAGAGCAAAGAGAAAAUCUUAUGCUACUCUGCCAGAUUGGGUUCAGACUUUCAGAUAAGCAGAGCAGAGCAGGGCUUUCACAGAUUCCAUAUCGCGGAGAUCAGCACUGUGGAAUGAACUUUUGCAAAGAUGAGAGCCGUCCCAAAGAUGACAAACCCUGCAACAACUGACUAUUAUUCGAUUAUUAUUCAUUCCAAUGCGGACAUCCGUUCUUAAUCUGAAAUGGUAGAACUGUCCGACCCAAACACAUUUAAUCAGUUCCCUAGGAGGGGGUUGGCAAGCAAACGCAUUUUGCUGAUAGUUUUAGUCGCGACGUGAGAUCAAACGGUGACAUUUUAGAAGAAACAUGCCUUUCUCUGAAGAAACCAUCAUAUUGUUCUGAAGAAAAUGUCCAGCAAAUCUAAAGAAACAAUCAGCAAAAGCGCUCACAAAUAUCAUCCAUGCCAUGGAACGCUUGCAAAUAUCAUCCCUCCUAUCAAACGUUCGCCAGUUAUUGCGGUCCUUAAUCAUUUUAAAUUUUAACACAGACACCCGAACUAUAUCCAUACAAUCAAAAUCCCUCAAUCUUGAAGGUCGAAGCAGAGGGAUCCGAGCGUGACGUCUACCACGUCGAUACUACAGCUCGGCCCCUCCUCCCUUUCAAACCAGCCCUCCUUCCCACUCUGAUCUCAACUCCAACGUACGAGCCGUUUCUUCUGGGUGUGUCUGUUUGGGUUUAAACGUACAAAUCCGACGGUCCAACGCAGCGAUCCAUCCCAUUUUCUUGUUUGCUUUGUGUCCAUUCGAACCCAUUUUUGUCCCAAAUUUGCUUACGGUUUGCGUCCAAAAAUACAAACACGCCUGCCCGCGCCUCCGCCCAUGCGCAAGCGUGGGCGGCGCGGUGCGGGCGCCGGUUAGGAGCAGCGGGCGCUCAGGGCAGCGUGGGCGGGUCAAUGGGGGCGGCAAGGCGCAGGCGCGAGACAGGAGCAACGCGGCCUCAGCCCACGCUCGCCAUAGCGGGGGGUCUGCUGCGUCGCCGACCACGCCGGGGCAUCUCAGGCGGUUGUACAGGGAGCGCCAAGUUGGGCUGCUGCUGCUGCGGAUGUGCAUCUCACCAAUGGAGCAGCCCCCACUCGGUGUUCGAAGAAAUGCCAAAUGGAGAAGCGCUGUUGGGUAGAUAUGCUCUGUCCGGGCGCGUUCGUUUGUCCGUUGUGCGUUUUUUCUAACCUACACGGACAAGCGGUCAUGCAUCGGAGCUGGCCUCCCUCGACAAGUCCCUCGGAGCAACUCCAACGCAUCGACCCAAACUGACGCAUAUUUUGUCCGUUUUUUAUCCGUUUUGGCCGGCUGCCCGCUCGUCGUCCGCCCGUGUUCGGACCAGUGCACCCAACCAGCCAACCCAUUUCUCGUCCGCAUAGAACACAAUUUGAACUUAAAAAAGCCCGCGGCCAAAGACCAUGCCAGCAGCCAUGCCAUCAUCCACAGUUCAUGUCGCCGGCCAUGUCAGUGGACGACAUACAUGUCAGCCUCCAAAAAGAAGCAUGCGGUUCAUGCUAGCGCACUUGCCAGUGGCCGCCACACAUGCCAGCACACAAAAAGGGCGGGAGUUCAACCAUACCAUCACGGUCGUGGUCAUGCCGGCACACUUGCCAGCAUACAAAAAAAGAUGGCGCUCUCCGCCAUAGAUCACUCGUCAUCAAGUUUGAGCAUGUCGGUCUGCAUCUUCUUGAACCAAGGCCUCUUCCUCGGGGACACCGUGCUCAAGUCCACCUUCAUGAUAUCCACCCCCUCAUCAUGCAAGAGAGUGUCACUUCUUUUGCUUUGGUCUUGGCUUUGCUAGCCUCGAUCUCGAGCAUCUUUGUUUGCUUCUCCGCCUCCAUCUCGAGCUUCUACCUUUGUAUCUCCAUGAAGGCCUUCAUUUGCUCUUUUUUGUCUUGCCGACGCUUCUCCUCCCUUGUAUCCUUGUCAGUCAUCAUGUCUUGCAAAGUUUCUUGCAAGGCAAUCAACGCCGCAUCACGCUUUUCCUCUUUCUUGGAGUUGUUCUUUCCCCGCAGUCGCGACUUCUCUCCCUCACCAUGCUCCUCGAUGGCUUUCAGCCCUCCACGUGCUUUGAGGGCGGCAUAUUGCUCCUUGAACUUCUUGCCCCCUUUUAUGACCAUGCAACAAUAGGUGAGGUUGAACGACGUGUUCCCAUGUUGGGCCGAAUGCUAUUAAAGCUUGGAAUACCUACAAAUGAAGAGCAUGCAAGCAUAUGAAGCAAAAUGGACAUGCAAUCAUGAAACAACGGAAAUGAAGAUGGAGGAAUGUAUACCAUGUCUUUGAUGCCGAGGCCACCCACGAGAUGACCUGCACAAUACUUGUUGCACUCUUGUUGUAUCACCCUCCAACGCUUCGAGAGGUACACCCACCCAUGCUUUGUCUCCAUCUUGUAUGACACGGACUUCUUGCAUUCAUGAUUCGCGAUGAACUCUUAACCAAAAGGUUGAUGCCUUUUGCUCGGCGCGGAUCUUGGGCUCCUGUCCAAUGUCCCUUCAACAUUCACAAAGGAGUUUGUCCUCAUCUUUGUGUAUGCCUUCAUCUGAAUGCUUUGGUGCUUCUUGUUUGCAUUGGCUUGGGUGGCGAGGUCGUUGUCAAAAGACAAAGGCUCCCCUUCGAUGGCCACUUCAUCAUCUUCUUCUAGGUCGUAGUCUUCCGGGAACUCGUGGUUUUGCAGGAAAGUGUUGCCCAUGCCAUCUUGGCCUUGCGUGAAGGGGUCGGUCGUGCCUCCAUGGCCUUGAGCAAAGGUGUCGGCCGUGCCCUCGUGGCCGGGCCAUGAAGGGCCCUUGGCCAUCUUGGCUUUGGGUCUCGUCGAGAUGGAAGGCCGCGCCACCCACACCGGCUUCGAAGAUGAUAUUCUCCAUGAAGAAACGGUUGGCCGUCUUGUCGUCCAUGACCGGCAUUGUGUCGGAUUGGUUGCGGGCAUCGGGGAUCUACCACGGGCAUUUGCUCUGGCCCCAAGUGGACGAUCCACCGGCCACAGGUGUGGCAUUGAGGUCGAUGGCCAUGGACGCAGGUGUGGCCGGCGCGACCACGCUCACCUCCGGCGAACCGGAGCCCGGAGAGGUGGAGAAACGGGAGGCUUGCGGGUGGGGAUGGAAGCCGGGCGUCUGCGGCGUGGUGGACGUGUGUGGCGACUUUGACACUGGCGGAUGAAUGGCUGACGAGCCCGUGCUAGCCGCGGCCACGGUGGUAGCGGCGAGCCUGUGCUGGCCUGGGUUUAACCCUAGGUAGAGUAGGGCCUCCCUCGUGGCCGCCAAGACGAGGAGGUUAUUCUCCGCGAUGGUGGCCUCUUGUUGUGCAGACGCGGCUUCGAGCUUGACGGCCUACACCUUCCUCUUGGCCGACUACAUAGCCCGCUGCGCGUUCGUCAGCUCCUUCUUCUUGGUCGGUGCCGCGGGGCUUGCCUUUGGCAGAGGUGAGGCCGGCGGCGGCGGCGAGGAUCUGCGCGUCAUCCAUGGCGAGCAGGAAAAUUGGGGUCGUUGUGCCACAUGAAGGAAAUAUGCCCUAGAGGCAAUAAUAAAGUUGUUAUUUGUUUUCCUUAUAUCAUAAAUGUUUAUUAUUCAUGCUAGAAUUGUAUUAACCGAAAACUUAGUACAUGUGUGAAUACAUAGACAAACAGAGUGUCACUAGUAUGCCUCUACUUGACUAGCUCGCUGAAUCAAAGAUGGUUAAGUUUCCUAGCCAUAGACAUGAGUUGUCAUUUGAUUAACGGGAUCACAUCAUUAGAGAAUGAUGUGAUUGACUUGACCCAUUCCGUUAGCUUAGCAUUUGAUCGUUUAGUAUAUUGCUAUUGCUUUCUUCAUGACUUAUAUAUGUUCCUAUGACUAUGAGAUUAUGCAACUCCCGAAUACCGGAGGAACACUUUGUAUGCUACCAAACAUCACAACGUAACUGGGUGAUUAUAAAGGUGCUCUACAGGUGUCUCCGAUGGUACUUGUUGAGUUGGCAUAGAUCAAGAUUAGGAUUUGUCACUCCGAUUGUCGGAGAGGUAUCUCUGGGCCCUCUCGGUAAUGCACAUCACUAUAAGCCUUGCAAGCAAUGAAACUAAUGAGUUAGUUGCGGGAUGAUGCAUUACGGAACGAGUAAAGAGACUUGCCAGUAACGAGAUUGAACUAGGUAUUGAGAUACCGACGAUCAAAUCUCGGGCAAGUAACAUACCGAUGACAAAGGGAACAACGUAUGUUGUUAUGCGGUUUGACCGAUAAAGACCUUCAUAGAAUAUGUAGGAGCCAAUAUGAGCAUCCAGGUUCCGCUAUUGGUUAUUGACCGGAGAUGAGUCUCGGUCAUGUCUACAUAGUUCUCAAACCCGUAGGGUCCGCACGCUUAACGUUCGGUGACGAUCGGUAUUAUGAGUUUAUGUGUUUUGAUGUACCAAAGGUAGUUCAGAGUCUCGGAUAUGAUCACGGACAUGACGAGGAGUCUCGAAAUGGUCGAGACAUAAAGAUCGAUAUAUUGGAAGCCUAUAUUUGGACAUCGAAAUAGUUCCGAGUGAAAUUGGGAUUUUACCGAGUACUGGGAGGUUACCGGAACCCCCCGGUAAGUGUAUGGGCCUUAUUGGGCCAUAGUGGAGAGAGAGAGAGGAGACCAGGGGAGGCCGCUGAUACGUCUAUUUUGCAUCAUGCUUUUAUAUCGAUAUUUAUUGCAUUAUGGGCUGUUAUUACACGUUAUGUCACAAUACUUAUGCCUAUUCUCUCUUAUUUUACAAGGUUUACAUGAGGAGGGAGAAUGCCGGCAGCUGGAAUUCUGGGCUGGAAAAGGAGCAAAUAUUAGAGACCUAUUCUGCACAACUCCAAAAGUCCUGAAACUCCACGAAAGUUAUUUUUGGAAAUAAUAAAAAAUAUUGAGCGGAAGAAGUACGUCAGAGGGGGCCCCACCUGGCCACGAGAGUGGGGGCGCGCCCUACCCCCCAGGGCGCGCCCCCCUGCCUCGUGGGCCCCCUGUUGGCUCUUCGGUGGCCAUCUUCUACUAUAUGAAGUCUUUCGUCAAGGGAAAAAUCAUAAGCAACCUUUCGGGACGAGACUCCGCCGCCACGAGGCGGAACCUUGGCGGAACCAAUCUAGGGCUCCGGCAGAGCUGUUCUGCCGGGGACACUUCCCUCCGGGAGGGGGAAAUCAUCGACAUCGUCAUCACCAACGCUCCUCUCAUCAGGAGAGGGCAAUCUCCAUCAACAUCUUCACCAGCACCAUCUCUUCUCAAAACCCUAGUUCAUCUCUUGUAUCCAAUUCUUGUCUCCAAGUCCGGGAUUGGUACUAGUAGGUUGCUAGUAGUGUUGAUUACUCCUUGUAGUUGAUGCUAGUUGGUUUAUUUGGUGGAAGAUCAUAUGUUCAGAUCUUAUAUGCAUAUUAAUACUCCUCUGAUUAUGAACAUGAAUAUGCUUUGUGAGUAGUUACGUUUGUUCCUGAGGACAUGGGAGAAGUCUUGCUAUUAGUAGUCAUGUGAAUUUGGUAUUCGUUCGAUAUUUGGAUGAGAUGUAUGUUGUCUAGCCUCUAGUGGUGUUAUGUGAACGUCGACUACAUAACACUUCACUGUUAUUUAGAGGAAGGCAUUGAGAAGUAAUAAGUAGAUGAUGGGUUGCUAGAGUGACAGAAGCUUAAACCCUAGUUUAUGCGUUGCUUCGUAAGGGGCUGAUUUGGAUCCAUGUGUUUCAUGCUAUGGUUAGGUUUACCUUAAUACUUUUGUUGUAGUUGCGGAUGCUUGCAAUAGAGGUUAAUCAUAAGUGGGAUGCUUGUUCAAGUAAGAACAGCACCCAAGCACCGGUCCACCUAGUACCGAACGCGAAUCAUAUGAACGUGAUGAAAACUAGCUUGACGAUAAUUCCCAUGUGUCCUCAGGAGCGCUUUUCUCUAUAUAAGAGUUUGUCCAGGCUUGUCCUUUGCUACAAAAAGGAUUGGGCCACCUUGCUGCACUUUAUUUACUUUUUUUACUUGUUGCUCGUUACAAAUUAUCCUAUCACAAAACUAUAUGUUACCUCUUAUUUCAGUAUUUGCAGAGAAUACCUUGCUGAAAACCGCUUAUCAUUUCCUUCUGCUCCUCGUUGGGUUCGACACUCUUACUUAUCGAAAGGACUACGAUAGAUCCCCUAUACUUGUGGGUCAUCAAGACUCUUUUUUGGCGCCGUUGCCGGGGAGUGAAGCGCCUUUGGUAGGUGGAAUUUGGUAAGGAAAAAUUUAUAUAGUGUGCUGAAAUUUACUGUCACUUGUUACUAUGGAAAGUAAUCCUCUGAGGGGCUUGUUUGGGGUAUCUUCACCCCGACCAGUAGAGCAAAGAGUUACUCCUCAACCUACUGAACCUACUGAAAAUGAAAAUGUUCCCUUUGAAGUUCCUUAGGGUAUGUUAGAAAAACUGCUAGCUAAUCCUUUUGCAGGAGAUGGAACAAAGCAUCCUGAUGAGCACCUAAUCUAUGUGGAUGAAGUUUGUGGAUUAUUUAAGCAUGCAGGUAUACCUGAUGAUGUUGUUAAGAAGAAGGUCUUCCCUUUAUCUUUGAAGGGAGAUGCAUCGACAUGGUAUAGGCUAUGUGAUGAUACGGGGUCAUGGAACUACAAACGAUUGAAAUUGGAAUUUCAUCAGAAGUUUUAUCCUAUGCAUCUUGUUCAUCGUGAUCACAAUUAUAUAUAUAAUUUUUGGCCUCGCGAAGGGGAAAGCAUCGCUCAAGCUUGGGGGAGGCUUAAAUCAAUGUUAUAUUCAUGCCCCAAUCAUGAGCUCUCAAGAGAAAUAAUUAUUCAAAGUUAUUAUGCUCGGCUUUCUGAUAACAAUCGCACCAUGCUCGAUACUUCUUGUGCUGGCUCUUUUAUGAUGAAGACUAUUGAAUUCAAAUGGAGUUUAUUGGAUAGAAUUAAACGCAACUCUGAAGAUUGGGAUCUCGACAAAGGUAAGGAGUCAGGUAUGACACCUAAGUUUGAUUGUGUUAAAUCUUUUAUGGAUACAGAUGUUUUCCGUAAAUUUAGCACUAAAUAUGGACUUGACUCUGAGAUAGUAGCAUCUUUCUGUGAAUCUUUUGCUACUUAUGUUGAUCUUCCCACAGAGAAGUGGUUUAAAUAUCAUCCUCCUAUAGAAGUAAAAGUAGCUGCACCUAUUAAAGUUGAAGAAAAGACUAUCACUUAUAAUGAUCCUGUUGUUCCUACUUCUUAUGUUGAGAAACCACCUUUCCCUGUUAGGAUAAGGGAUCAUGCUAAAGCUUCAACUGUGGUUCGUAAAAGCAAUAUUAGAACUUAUACCCCUCCUGAGCAAAUUAAAGUUGAACCUAAUAUUGCUAUUGUUAAAGAUCUCUUGGCUGAUAAUAUUGAUGGGCAUGUUAUUUAUUUCUGCGGUGAAACUGCUAGAAUUGCCAAACCUUGUGCUAAAGAUAAACAUAGACCUGUGGUAGGCAUGCAUGUUAUUUCUGUUAAAAUAGGAGAUCAUUGUUAUCAUGGCUUGUGUGAUAUGGGUGCUAGUGUUAGUGCAAUACCUUAUGACUUAUACAAAGAAAUUAUGCAUGAUAUUGCACCUGCUGAGAUAGAAGAUAUUGAUGUCACAAUUAAACUUGCCAAUAGAGAUACUAUUUCACCAAUGGGAAUUGUUAGAGAUGUUGAAGUCUUGUGUGGGAAAACUAAAUAUCCUACUGAUUUUCUUGUUCUUGGUUCCCCACAAGAUAGCUUUUGUCCCAUAAUAUGUGGUAGACCCUUCUUGAACACAGUCAAUGCUAGGAUAGACUGCGAAAAGAGUGUUGUUACUAUUGGCUUGGGUGAUAUGUCUCAUGAGUUUAAUUUCUCUAAAUUUAGUAGACAACACCGUGAAGAAGAAUUACCUAGUAAGGAUGAAAUUAUUGGUCUUGCUUCUAUUGCCGUACCUCCUAGUGAUCCUUUAGAACAAUAUUUGCUAGACCAUGAAAAUGAUAUGUUCAUGAAUGAAAGAAGGGAAAUAGAUGAAGUAAUUUGUUCGAUUGAAGUAAUUUGCUCAAUUCUAUCAAUUGCUCGACAGUAAUUUGUUCACCCACUGUAAUACUUAUGCUCUUGAGAGAAGCCACUAGUGAAACCUAUGGCCCCCGGGUCUAUUUUCCAUCAUAUUAAUCUUCCAACACUUGGCUAUUUCUAUUGCCUUUUAUUUACUUUGCAUCUUUAUUUCUCUUUAUCAUAAAAAUACCAAAAAUAUUAUCUUAUCAUAUCUAUCAGAUCUCACUCUCGUAAGUGACCGUGAAGGGAUUGACAACCCCUUUAUUGCAUUGGCUGCGAGGUUCUUAUUUGUUUGUGUAGGUGCGAGGGACUUGAGCGUGGUCUCCUACUGGAUUGAUACCUUGGUUCUCAAAAAUUGAGGGAAAUACUUACGCUACUUUACUGCAUCACCCUUUCCUCUUCAAGGAAAAAACCAACACAGUGCUCAAGAGGUAGCAAGAAGGAUUUCUGGCGCCGUUGCCGGGGAGAUUCGCACCAAGUCAAGACAUACCAAGUACCCCUCACAAACCCUUAUCCCUCGCAUUACAUUAUUUGCCAUUUGCCUCUCGUUUUCCUCUCCCCCACUUCACCCUUGCCGUUUUAUUAGCCCUCUCUUUUCCGCUUGCCUUUCUUUUGCCAUGUCGGAACCAAAAAGAGUUUGGGGGUUCUCUCCCGAGUUUUAGUACUUUGGACGAUCCUUCUAUUCUAUCUAAACUCAUAAAUAAUGCUAUGGAAAAACCUGCCGGAGUUGUCAAUGAGAGUCUUAGUAAUUUUGAUGAAGAUGAUUCCAGAAUUUUUCGUUAUUUACUCGAUGAAUCUUUGAAAAAAAAAGGCGGAUUAUGGGAGUGUGUGACUUGAAUUAUUGAUUUGGCCAUGCAGAUAAAGAAUUGGAUCUGCCACAUUAGAAUUCACAACCAAAGGUGUCUCCGCAUCCAAUCAACAUGUAAGUCCCCUACCUAGGAAGGAUAGGCUGGUUCACUUGAGGAGAAUAUCUUCUAUGAUCAUACCGCAACCAUGUCAUCCAUGAACAGGCUCCGUAAGAUCCCAUAGAGUAGAAAUGGAAUAAGUCAUGUGACAUGAUCCAGUUCUCUAUUUAUUACACUUACCUUUUUAUUAUAGUAUGGAAAUGCAUUCAUUUUCUUUGCAUCGAUUGUGAUCCGCAAUACUAUCGGAGUAAAAGAAGGGAUCUAAGGAAGAAUGUAGGCUAAACUUUUUGAUUUUUUAUUAGUAACAAGUAAAUAUUUUGUUUGGAGGUAAGAAACUUGCGAUAUUGAGGGGAUAAAUACCAACUAAUCAAGAGACAUGAGACAAUACAAAUAGUUGAAGUUAAUUUUACGAAAGAAAAAAGGCGGAUUAUGGGAGUGUGUGACUUGAAUUAUUGAUUUGGCCAUGCAGAUAAAGAAUUGGAUCUGCCACAUUAGAAUUCACAACCAAAGGUGUCUCCGCAUCCAAUCAACAUGUAAGUCCCCUACCUAGGAAGGAUAGGCUGGUUCACUUGAGGAGAAUAUCUUCUAUGAUCAUACCGCAACCAUGUCAUCCAUGAACAGGCUCCGUAAGAUCCCAUAGAGUAGAAAUGGAAUAAGUCAUGUGACAUGAUCCAGUUCUCUAUUUAUUACACUUACCUGUUUAUUAUAGUAUGGAAAUGCAUUCAUUUUCUUUGCAUCGAUUGUGAUCCGCAAUACUAUCGGAGUAAAAGAAGGGAUCUAAGGAAGAAUGUAGGCUAAACUUUUUGAUUUUUUAUUAGUAACAAGUAAAUAUUUUGUUUGGAGGUAAGAAACUUGCGAUAUUGAGGGGAUAAAUACCAACUAAUCAAGAGACAUGAGACAAUCCACAAAGCAAUUGAUCAUGAUCAAAUUUGUAAGCCCACUUGGAUAUUGAGCAUUUACCCAUAAGAAUAGGAUUAUUUUCAAUGAGUAGUUGUAGGUGCAACUUCGGAAAAGAGAAUCUGAUAAAGCUUUUCUUGCCUAGAGUCAUUGAGUCAUUAUAAACCUUAAUUCUAUUAAGGAUCUUCCGCGGUCUUAUUUCUUUCACUCUUGCUCGAGCCGGAUGAUGAUAAAUUCUCAUGUCCGGUUCCUUUGGGGGAUGGAUCCUAAAGAGUUCACCUAUCCCAAUAACAAAGAAACCAGACUUAAAUGAUCCUGUAUUAAGAGCUAAAUUAGCUAAAGGGAUGGGACAUAAUUAUUACGGGGAACCCGCAUGGCCCAACGAUAUUUUAUAUAUUUUUCCAGUAGUAAUUCUAGGUACUAUUGCAUGUAAUGUAGGUUUAGCGGUUCUCGAGCCAUCAAUGAUUGGUGAACCGGCAGAUCCGUUUGCAACUCUUCUGGAAAUAUUACCCGAGUGGUACUUCUUUCCCAUGUUUCAAAUACUCCGUACGGUACCCAAUAAGUUAUUGGGCGUUCUUUUAAUGGUUUCUGUGCCAACAGGCUUAUUGACAGUACCUUUUCUAGAGAAUGUCAAUAAAUUCCAAAAUCCAUUUCGCCGCCCAGUAGCUACGACCGUUUUUUUAAUCGGUACUGUAGUAGCUCUUUGGUUAGGUAUUGGAGCAACAUUACCCAUUGAUAAAUCAUUAACUUUAGGUCUUUUUUAGAUAUUUUUUGAUUCAUUCAACCGUGAAGUACCAUAGGUAUCUACGAAAUAGUUACUUCCAAGUGAAUCUUCCCUAGAUACCUAAAAUCCAUUUUAUUAUGAUCCAUUUCGCGAAAAUAUAGAUUGUACCAAAGAUGCUAAAUUGUUUUCUUUUUAUUCUAACUCGAAAAAGAAGAAGAAAAAAAUUUGCAAUGGAUUUAAAACGAGAGUUUAUUCUUAAGUAAAUCAAUUGGGAGAUGCUUCUCUAGAGUGUCCCAUAUAUGUUUUCUAUCUUCCAUACGAAAACUGUCAAUUCUCAGAAGAUCUUCUUCAGUCUUACUCAAAAGGUCCAAUAGUGUAUGUAUAUUGGCCCUUUUUAGACAAUUAUACGUUCUAGAAGUCAAUUCUAAUUGAUCAAUAAAAAUACAAUUCAAUGGAAUUCCUUUUUUGUUUUUCUUUAGAUUAGUUAAUCUUUUUUGAAAAGUAAAAAGGGGUGGAGUAAACCUGUUUUUAUUUUCUUCGAAACUAGCGCCCUCUUCCUCCGCGUGUAGAAAAGGAAGAAAUAAAUCAAUCAAAUUACGAGAAGCCUCAUAAAGUGCUUCCUUAGGGGUUAAACUUCCAUUAGUCCAUAUUUCUAGAAAAAGUAUCUCGUGUUUUUCAUUUUCAUUCCCACAAGAAAAAAUACUAUAAUUCACAUUUUGAACAGGCAUGGAUACAGCAUCUAUAGGAUAACUUCCAUCUUGAUAGUUCUUUCUGAGUUCUGUCUGAUAUCCACGAUCUCUCUUGAUCUGUAAAUCAAUACAGAAAUCAAUGGGCUCUGUCAAGUUAGCUAUAGGUUGUGCCGUAUCAACGAUUUCUACGGAAGGCGGUAAGAUGAUAUCUUGAGCAGUUAUGUAUCUAGGACCUUUGACGCAAAUGGAUGCGUCUCUAACUCCAUAGAGAUUACUUCUCAAUACAAUUUCUUUCAAAUUUAGUAAAAUUUCUUGUACGGAUUCUUCAAUACCUGCUAUUGUAGAAUACUCGUGCGGCACGCUCCCAAAUUUUGCACGUGUGAUACAUGUUCCUUCUAUUUCUCCAAGUAAAGCUCUUCGCAAGGCAAUACCGACGGUGUCCGCUUGACCUUUUCUAAGCGGGGACAGAAUGAAACGACCAUAAUAAAGGCGCUUACUAUCCACUCUUGAUUCAACACACUUCCACUGUAGUGUUUGAGUGGAUCCUGCUACCUCCUCUCGAACCAUAAUAGACUAGUAUUAUUAUUUUAUCAUUGAAUCGUUUAUUUCUCUUGAAAUGAAAGUUGAAAGCGGGUUAAUUCUUUUACAGACGUCUUUUUUAGGCGGUCGACAUCCAUUAUGCGGCAUAGGUGUUACAUCGCGUAUACAACUUAAUCGCACACCACUUUUAGCAAUGGCUCGUAAUGCGGCAUCUCUUCCACUACCAGCGCCCUUUACCAUAACUUCUGCUCGUUGCAAACCUACUGUACGAAUAGCAUCUACUGCUGUUCUUUGACCAGCAUAGGGUGAUGCUUUUCUUGAGCUUUUGAAUCCACAAGUACCGGCCGAGGACCAAAAAACCACCCGACCUUGUGGGUCUGUAACAGUUAUAAUGGUAUUGUUGAAACUAGCUUGAACAUGAAUAACCCCUUUUGUUAUUCUACGUGCACUCUUCCGUAAACUAAAACGUGCAUUCCUACGUAAACCAAUACGCACUUUCUUACGUGAACCAAUUUUUGGUAUAGCUUUUGCCAUAUUUUAUUAUCUCAUAAAUAUGAGUUAGAAAUAAAAAAAGAAAAAAGAUACAAAUAUAUCCGUUUCAGGGUAAAAUAAACCCUUUACUUUAAUUAUUUUAAAUGAAAUUAUUUUAUUUGGAAUUGGAACAUUUCCGCGGGUACUUUUUUUUUACUUUUUAGAAAGUAAAGUUCUUUUUCGAAAGAUUACCCCUGUCUUUGUUUAUGCUUCGGAUUAGAGCAAAUGACUCUAAUUCGUCCACGCCUACGAAUCAGUCAACAUUUUGUACAAAUUUUACGAACGGAAGCUCUUAUUUUCAUAUUUCCGUAUCCUUUUUUAAACUAUGAAUCUAAUCUUUUGGAAAAAAUAAGUCUCUUCGCUUGAAUUUUAGAACUUAGAAUUUAUUACCCUAGAAAAAAAAAGAAAAACCUAAUCCUUUGAAUCUUUGGUAUCCUUCAAAUCUUCGCUAUCCUUCAAAUCUUCGCUAUCCUUCGAGUCUUCGAUACGCUUCGAAUCCUUAUGGGGAAGUCUAUAAAUUAUAUGUCCCUUGCUUGAAUCAUAACGACUUACUUCAAUUUUGACCCUAUCCCCCAUCAGUAUUCGUAUAGAACUAGACCGUAUCUUUCCUGAAAUAUAGCCUAGGAUGAUGGUGUCAUUCUCUAGCCGAACGCGGAACAUUCCAUUGGGUAGGGCUUUCGUAACUAAACCUUCGAAAGUUACUUUUGCUUCUCUCGGGUUUUUCUUUCUCUCCUAUUUUUUUUUCUGUCAUAUUUUUCUCUCCUAUUUUUCUAUUUUUAUUUUAAAAAUAGGAAGGGCGAGAUUCGAGCACUAUAGGCGGGGCGAUUACCAUAUAUAACAUAAGACUUCUCCCCCAAUUCUGUUUAGUCGAGCUUCUCGAUCUGUCAUUAUUCCUCGAGAAGUAGAAAGAAUAGCAAUUCCCAUUCCACCCAAAACUUUAGGAAUUCCUUGAUAGUUGGUAUAAAUUCGUAAGCCGGGUCGGCUGAUACGCUUUAAAAAGGUUCUUGUUCUAUAUAUUCCUUUUCUAGUCUUUCUCUUUUGAUGUCGCAAAGUUGAAACCAAGAAAUAUCUGUUACGUUCCUGAUGUUUCCGAACACUUUCAAUAAAACCCUCUCGUAGAAGUAUUUUAACACUACUCGAACUGUUCCUUUUUUAUUCAUGUCCGCAUUUCUUAUAGAGGUUAGUAAAUCAGCAAUAGUGUCCUUGCCCAUAAGACUCUAAUUCUAGGUUCCUCCUAAUUUUUCUAUAAUCAACAUGUUUUUUUUUUCAUUUUGGAUUUUAAAACAUAUACGUAAAACACAAUCUACUAAAUUAAUUCUUUGGUCUCAAUUUCGCCUACUAGUAU